GUGCCAGCAGCCGCGGUAAUACGUAGGGUGCGAGCGUUAAUCGGAAUUACUGGGCGUAAAGCGUGCGCAGGCGGUUUGCUAAGACCGAUGUGAAAUCCCCGGGCUCAACCUGGGAACUGCAUUGGUGACUGGCAGGCUAGAGUAUGGCAGAGGGGGGUAGAAUUCCACGUGUAGCAGUGAAAUGCGUAGAGAUGUGGAGGAAUACCGAUGGCGAAGGCAGCCCCCUGGGCCAAUACUGACGCUCAUGCACGAAAGCGUGGGGAGNNCAACAGAUUAGAUACCCUGGUAGUCC
RNAcentral lists this ribosomal RNA (292 nucleotides) under uncultured microorganism. RNAcentral's name for it is "partial 16S ribosomal RNA". It matches the Rfam family "Bacterial small subunit ribosomal RNA", at positions 505 to 796 of the family's 1533-position model. The record is from RNAcentral.